This 245-nucleotide ribosomal RNA is filed under the name Klebsiella pneumoniae. RNAcentral describes it as "partial 23S ribosomal RNA". It matches the Rfam family "Bacterial large subunit ribosomal RNA", at positions 1523 to 1765 of the family's 2925-position model. Lineage: Bacteria; Pseudomonadati; Pseudomonadota; Gammaproteobacteria; Enterobacterales; Enterobacteriaceae. The record is from RNAcentral.
GGCUGAUUGUCCAGGCAAAUCCGGAUAAUCAAGGCUGAGGUGUGAUGACGAGGCACUACGGUGCUGAAGUAACAAAUGCCCUGCUUCCAGGAAAAGCCUCUAAGCAUCAGGUAACAUUAAAUCGUACCCCAAACCGACACAGGUGGUCAGGUAGAGAAUACCAAGGCGCUUGAGAGAACUCGGGUGAAGGAACUAGGCAAAAUGGUGCUGUAACUUCGGGAGAAGGCACGCUGGUGUGUAGGUGA